GAUGAACGCUGGCGGCGUGCUUAACACAUGCAAGUCGAGCGAGAGAGUUCUUCGGAACAAUCUAGCGGCGGACGGGUGAGUAACACGUGGGCAACCUGCCUCAUAGAGGGGAAUAGCCUUCCGAAAGGAAGAUUAAUACCGCAUAACAUCGUUGAAGGGCAUCCUUCGAUGAUCAAAGGAGCAAUCCGCUAUGAGAUGGGCCCGCGGCGCAUUAGCUAGUUGGUGAGGUAACGGCUCACCAAGGCGACGAUGCGUAGCCGACCUGAGAGGGUGAUCGGCCACAUUGGGACUGAGACACGGCCCAGACUCCUACGGGAGGCAGCAGUGGGGAAUAUUGCACAAUGGGGGAAACCCUGAUGCAGCAACGCCGCGUGAGUGAUGACGGCCUUCGGGUUGUAAAGCUCUGUCUUUGGGGACGAUAAUGACGGUACCCAAGGAGGAAGUCACGGCUAACUACGUGCCAGCCGCCGCAGUAA
This 476-nucleotide ribosomal RNA is filed under the name uncultured bacterium. Its description in RNAcentral is "partial 16S ribosomal RNA". It matches the Rfam family "Bacterial small subunit ribosomal RNA", at positions 28 to 523 of the family's 1533-position model. The record is from RNAcentral.